AGACGACAAAAUGUUAAAUAUUAAUUUUGUCACCUUAGGUCGAUCGGUAUCUCACAUUCUUAAUUUAUUAAGGAUUUUAUUUCCUAAGUUUUUCUAGGUCACACCCAAUUUUUCCUGGGCCAUUAGCUCAGGUGGUUAGAGCGCACCCCUGAUAAGGGUGAGGUCCCUGGUUCAAGUCCAGGAUGGCCCAUAUCUCUAUGUUGAGGGUAUAGCUCAGUUGGUAGAGCGCCUGCUUUGCAAGCAGGAUGUCAGCGGUUCGAGUCCGCUUACCUCCACUGAUUACCACCUCUUCCGUAAUCUAUAGAAAGGAAAAUUUUUGAGUUGUGAUCAAAUUCUGAACGAAUCUAGCUUCCUAAUGAAUUCAUUAAGAUGCUGGACUCAUUGAAUUAAUUUCAUUGAUUUCAGAGAACCUUGACAACUGCAUAGAUUAUUUUAAAGACAAUAAGCAUCUUUAAUGAUGCAGAUUUAUUAUUUGUGCUAAUGCAUUAAUAACAAUUCUAUUAAGCUGAUGCUUCAAUUUUGAAGUUAUU
RNAcentral lists this transfer RNA (530 nucleotides) under uncultured cyanobacterium. RNAcentral describes it as "partial 16S-23S intergenic spacer". The stretch from base 117 to 190 matches the Rfam family "tRNA". The record is from RNAcentral. Lineage: Bacteria; Bacillati; Cyanobacteriota.